This 544-nucleotide ribosomal RNA is filed under the name uncultured bacterium. RNAcentral's name for it is "bacterial SSU rRNA". It matches the Rfam family "Bacterial small subunit ribosomal RNA", at positions 917 to 1482 of the family's 1533-position model. The record is from RNAcentral.
GGACCCGCACAACUGGUGGAGCGUGUGGUUUAAUUUGAGACGAAGCAAAAAACCUUACCAGGGUUUGACAUGAUACCGUUUUAUGCCUAUGGAAACACUGGCAGAUCCGCAAGGAUGGUACCACAGGUGCUGCAUGGCUGUCGUCAGCUCGUGUCGUGAGAUGUUCCCUUAAGUGGGGAAACGAGCGCAACCCCCGUGAAAUGUUAAAUAUUCAUUUCAGACGGUCCCGAUCAUAUCGGGAAGGAAGGAGGGGAAGACGUCAAGUCAGCAUGGUCCUUACACCCUGGGAUACACACACCCUACAAUGGCGAAGAACAAUGGGCUGCAAGCCAGCAAUGGCAAGCUAAUCUCAGAAAUUUCGCCUCAGUUCAGAUUGGGGGCUGCAACCCGCCCCCAUGAAGUCGGAAUCAGUAGUAAUCGCGGAUCAGAAGGCCGCGGUGAAUACGUUCUCGGGUCUUGUACACACCGCCCGUCAAGGCAGCAAAGUUGGGAGCGGAUGAAGGCUAUCGUAAGAUGGACGAGUCCGAGCUUAGCGAUGAAGCUU